Molecule: microRNA precursor, 100 nt
Filed under: Sorex araneus (European shrew)
Lineage: Eukaryota; Metazoa; Chordata; Mammalia; Eulipotyphla; Soricidae
Description: miRNA (ENSSARG00000020107.1)
Source: RNAcentral
CCUCCAAAGUUUCCCUCAGGAUAGCUGAAACUCUUGCAAGACCCAUGCAGUUUUAACCAGUAAGGUGAAUGAUUAGAGGUCUUGGGGCCGCAACAUUUUA